This 494-nucleotide ribosomal RNA is filed under the name uncultured bacterium. Its description in RNAcentral is "bacterial SSU rRNA". It matches the Rfam family "Bacterial small subunit ribosomal RNA", at positions 903 to 1397 of the family's 1533-position model. The record is from RNAcentral.
AAAUGAAUUGACGGGGGCCCGCACAAGCAGCGGAGCAUGUGGUUUAAUUCGAAGCAACGCGAAGAACCUUACCAGGUCUUGACAUCCAGUUAAAGCUGUAGAGAUACAGUGUGUGCUUGCACAAACUGAGACAGGUGGUGCAUGGUUGUCGUCAGCUCGUGUCGUGAGAUGUUGGGUUAAGUCCCGCAACGAGCGCAACCCUUGCCGGUAGUUACUAACGGGUAAAGCUGAGGACUCUACUGGGACCGCCGGGGACAACUCGGAGGAAGGUGGGGACGACGUCAAAUCAUCAUGCCCCUUAUGACCUGGGCUACACACGUGCUACAAUGGCCGAGACAGAGAGCAGCGAUGGAGCGAUCCGGAGCGAAUCUCAAAAAAGCGGUCACAGUUCGGAUUGUGGGCUGCAACCCGCCCACAUGAAGCAGGAGUUGCUAGUAAUCGCGAAUCAGCAUGUCGCGGUGAAUACGUUCCCGGGCCUUGCACACACCGCCCGU